This 465-nucleotide unclassified non-coding RNA is filed under the name Hevea brasiliensis (rubber tree). The record is from RNAcentral. Lineage: Eukaryota; Viridiplantae; Streptophyta; Magnoliopsida; Malpighiales; Euphorbiaceae.
CCUCCUCUGUAAGGCCUUCGUCUUCUCCAGCAUUUUCAUCCCAACCAAGUGACCGUAAAAAGGCAGCCUCUUCCUCAUCUGGGUUGGGAGUUAUGUCAGAGUUUGAAUCCUUCUCUCCGUUGUCAAAUAGAUGAGUCCCAUUGUAAGUAUCUCCAUUGUGGAUUAUUUUACCUCUAUUAUCACUGGACAAGCUAGUAACAGAUAUUUCUGAUGAAGAAGAAUCUCCAUCAUUCUCAGUAACUGAAGCAGCAGUACGUUCUGUGACAGAUUCACUAGACUUCUUCUCUGGGGAGGAUGACAAUGAAACAGGACUAGGAUCCGAUACCCCAGCUGUGGAGUUUGUGGAGGAUUUCUUCUUUAGGUGGUUAAAAAAAUCAUUCCGGCUCUGGAUUUGAAACGCUGGUCUCUUCUCUACGGUUGGCCGCAAAACUGAAGGAAGGUGCUCGGCACUGGGACGGUUUGGAU